Molecule: non-coding RNA, 95 nt
Organism: Hypoxylon fragiforme
Lineage: Eukaryota; Fungi; Ascomycota; Sordariomycetes; Xylariales; Hypoxylaceae
Source: the annotation of a RefSeq genome assembly
UCCGAAUUGGUGUAGUGGCCAACAUUUGACGCUCUCAUGGAUUAAACACCCAGACAGGUACCGUCAAGCCCGGGGUUCGAUUCCCCGAUUCGGAG